UUUUUUUCUAUUCACCCUACAUCAAUCCAACAGAGAAGAAAAAAAUAUCAUCAUCUUCAUCUUCAAUACUUACCAGAGCAGAGUUAGGAGAGGAAAGCGAUUGGGGUCACCAACACUUGCUCCAUUCCUUAUGGUGUCUUGGUGACAAUGUCGCGACGGAGAGCGAUAGCAUCGAUAAGGCUACAACGUCUGAGGAAGGUGGUCGUGGCGGCAUCGUCGGCAGCGGUUUCAAACGCGUGAGUGACGAGGACAAGGAAGAAGAAGGGAGUAACACCACCGGCCCUAGGAAGUGCCAUCGGCUCUUAGCGGCGCUGGCGACGCUGGCGGCGAUUUUGACGGAGAACGACGACCUCAACUUGGUGGCUCCAGCAACGAGCAUCGUUGCUGACGAGGUCGGGGACAGUGGUUGGUGGUGGUCGGUUGGGUGGAGAGGAGUGUCUCUAGAUUCGUCUAUGGAGGAGGAGACCCUAGGUCUCUGAAGCAGUGCUUGGCAUAAUGAGGGGAAAACUUUGAAACCCCUAAAGUGUUUCUGAUGCUAGGGCAAAAGAUUUUUGGGCCUGGCUCUGGGCCGCAUUCCUUCUGCUCACCACCACUUGCAUUCCCAUUCACACUCCCCUGCCAUUUCUGCAGACAAAGGAAGAAAAACGCUUUAGGCCCAUUGGCCCGCAUUCUCUCUGCUUGCCGCCACCUACGUUUCCUAUCCACACUCCCUUUUUCCUUUCUGGCAAACAAUAAAAGAGGCCUUGGGCCUGGUCAGCAAAGCAUCCAGUGGCACCCCCAAUCUUCACAGUUGCACCCCUUCAUUCAUCUGGGCUCAGACCGAAAACCACUAUGUGGCACCUCCAACUUUGCUCAUGCA
RNAcentral lists this long non-coding RNA (859 nucleotides) under Vigna radiata. RNAcentral's name for it is "long non-coding RNA (VRAD_LNC018630)". The record is from RNAcentral. Lineage: Eukaryota; Viridiplantae; Streptophyta; Magnoliopsida; Fabales; Fabaceae.